This 450-nucleotide ribosomal RNA is filed under the name uncultured bacterium. RNAcentral's name for it is "bacterial SSU rRNA". It matches the Rfam family "Bacterial small subunit ribosomal RNA", at positions 354 to 796 of the family's 1533-position model. The record is from RNAcentral.
GUGGGGAAUAUUGGACAAUGGGCGAAAGCCUGAUCCAGCCAUGCCGCGUGUGUGAAGAAGGUCUUCGGAUUGUAAAGCACUUUAAGUUGGGAGGAAGGGCAGUAAGUUAAUACCUUGCUGUUUUGACGUUACCGACAGAAUAAGCACCGGCUAACUUCGUGCCAGCAGCCGCGGUAAUACGAAGGGUGCAAGCGUUAAUCGGAAUUACUGGGCGUAAAGCGCGCGUAGGUGGUUCAGCAAGUUGGAGGUGAAAUCCCCGGGCUCAACCUGGGAACUGCCUCCAAAACUACUGGGCUAGAGUACGGUAGAGGGUAGUGGAAUUUCCUGUGUAGCGGUGAAAUGCGUAGAUAUAGGAAGGAACACCAGUGGCGAAGGCGACUACCUGGACUGAUACUGACACUGAGGUGCGAAAGCGUGGGGAGCAAACAGGAUUAGAAACCCGUGUAGUCC